CUGCUCCAUGCAUGAUCAUCUAAGGACAAAACAGAAACCAAAGAAAGAAAAAUAUGCAAAGGCAACAUCAAACAUCAGUCCAUGGAUUACAUGAGCUAGCUUCCGGGAUGGCGUGCGCUUCGACAUCCUUAAACCGGGAUCAGAUCACCAACCGGAGCACCUCAUCGCGGGGAAGCUCAAGCUCUCUAACAGAACAGAGAAGGAGCUUCCGAACCGACGGAUGAUUCCUGCCGUGAGACCGCGAUGUAUCACCUGAAAAGGAAAAAAAAAGGGGAAGCCGCUGGCGGCCGGCAGUUCGGCAGGAUGGGGCGCACGUGCGGUACGUGUGUGUAUUAUGCUACCCUGCCUGCGGCUCCCGUGUCGCUCUCCGCUUUCUAUGUGCUGCUUCUCUUGUACUGCUGCCAAGAUAGUGCCUUGGGCAGUUUGAGACAGCGGAUUUCCAUUUGCCGGAUCAGGCUUGCUACAAGUCAAAUUUCACGAUUUGGUGGUGUUGUCUGUUGUGUGAUUUAUGUAUGUCUGAUCCGUUUGAUAGGCUGCAAUUUUCUAUAACUUGUAGCGUGUGUUUUGGGUUUACAGAAGGAAUAAAUCGGAACCGUACCACAAA
Molecule: long non-coding RNA, 604 nt
Organism: Brachypodium distachyon (stiff brome)
Lineage: Eukaryota; Viridiplantae; Streptophyta; Magnoliopsida; Poales; Poaceae
Exons: 2
Source: RefSeq, a predicted model, not a curated record